Molecule: ribosomal RNA, 406 nt
Filed under: uncultured bacterium
Lineage: Bacteria
Description: partial 16S ribosomal RNA
Rfam family: Bacterial small subunit ribosomal RNA
Source: RNAcentral
AUUGAACGCUGGCGGCAGGCCUAACACAUGCAAGUCGAACGAGUGGCGGACGGGUGAGUCAUGUCUGGGAAACUGCCUGAUGGAGGGGGAUAACUACUGGAAACGGUAGCUAAUACCGCAUACCCUCAGAUGUGCCCAGAUGGGAUUAGCUUGGUGGUGGGGUAACGGCUCACCAAGGAGACGAUCCCUAGCUGGUCUGAGAGGAUGACCAGCCAAGCUGGAACGUGGACACGGUCCAGACGCCUACGGGAGGCAGCAGUGGGUAAGAUUGCACAAGGGGGGGAAGCAUGAUGCAGACAUGCCGCGUGUAUGAAGAAGGCCUUCGGGUUGUAAAGUACUUGCAGCGGGGAGGCGUUACCCGCAGAAGAAGCACCGGCUAACUCCGUGCCAGCAGCCGCGGUAAUAC